Molecule: long non-coding RNA, 256 nt
Filed under: Lupinus angustifolius (narrow-leaved blue lupine)
Lineage: Eukaryota; Viridiplantae; Streptophyta; Magnoliopsida; Fabales; Fabaceae
Description: long non-coding RNA (LANG_LNC002909)
Source: RNAcentral
UGGAACUAUUGCAUACUAAUCAACCAGUUGGUGAAGAAAUUCAAAGCCAACCAAGACCACAAAGAACCAGACAACCACCAUCAAGACUUAGUGACUAUGAAGUCUUCCCAGACUCAGAAAUCACCACUGAAGGAGAAUUGGUUCACAUGGCCCUCUUGGCUGAAAUGGAACCAGUAAACUCAGAAGAAGCUUUCAGACAGAAUCAUUGGCUUGAAGCUAUGCAAGAAGAACUCAUGUCCAUUGAGAAAAACAGAAC